AGCUUUGUGCAGUGGCAGUAUUGUAGCCAAUGAGGUUUAUCCGAGGCGCGAUUAUUGCUAAUUAAAAAAGAUUUUAUUUAUUUUA
RNAcentral lists this small nuclear RNA (85 nucleotides) under Zalophus californianus (California sea lion). RNAcentral's name for it is "U4 spliceosomal RNA (ENSZCAG00015021596.1)". It matches the Rfam family "U4 spliceosomal RNA". From Rfam's summary of the family: U4 small nuclear RNA (U4 snRNA) is a component of the major U2-dependent spliceosome. The structure of U4 snRNA from yeast and human has been reported. Lineage: Eukaryota; Metazoa; Chordata; Mammalia; Carnivora; Otariidae. The record is from RNAcentral.